UACGUAGGGUGCUAGCGUUGUCCGGAUUUAUUGGGCGUAAAGGGCUCGUAGGCGGUUUGUUGCGUCGGCUGUGAAAUCCCGAGGCUCAACCUCGGGUCUGCAGUCGAUACGAGCAAACUAGAGUGUUGCAGGGGAGACUGGAAUUCCUGGUGUAGCGGUGAAAUGCGCAGAUAUCAGGAGGAACACCGGUGGCGAAGGCGGGUCUCUGGGCAACAACUGACGCUGAGGAGCGAAAGCGUGGGGAGCGAACAGG
RNAcentral lists this ribosomal RNA (253 nucleotides) under uncultured bacterium. RNAcentral describes it as "partial 16S ribosomal RNA". It matches the Rfam family "Bacterial small subunit ribosomal RNA", at positions 524 to 776 of the family's 1533-position model. The record is from RNAcentral.